UCUAGAUUCAUGGCUUUCCAUAUGAAACCAUCCGCAUCCUCGUCCCGCAUCCACAGGUUACCAAGCAUGGGUCCUCUCUCGUGAAAAACCAAGCCACACACUCUCUGUUGGUAUACAGGCCUUUUAUAGACCUAAACACAUCUUAGAUUAGGAUUAGGAAUCCCAGUCAAUCCCAAACAAAGCCCAAAAACCUCUCCAAGCUGUUGGAUCAAGACCACAACAUCCCAGAGCCAUCCGAUCGUGAUCGGUCCAUAGAAUAGUGUCGUAGACCGCACAAAAUGUGUGGGAAAUGCCUGCGCGGUCCACACACCGGCCGUAGACCACCUGAUCCGCCGUGG
This 338-nucleotide long non-coding RNA is filed under the name Elaeis guineensis (African oil palm). Its description in RNAcentral is "long non-coding RNA (EGUI_LNC050835)". The record is from RNAcentral. Lineage: Eukaryota; Viridiplantae; Streptophyta; Magnoliopsida; Arecales; Arecaceae.